Molecule: regulatory RNA element, 59 nt
Organism: Moheibacter sediminis
Lineage: Bacteria; Pseudomonadati; Bacteroidota; Flavobacteriia; Flavobacteriales; Weeksellaceae
Source: Rfam
UCUUCGGAGGAAGGAUUUGUCUGAUUGCAACCUCGUUAAAAAUUGCUAAAACAGGAACU